CGGGGGGAGCAAGCGUUGUUCGGAUUUAAUGGGCGUAAAGGGCGCGUAGGCGGCCACUGCAAGUCGGUUGUGAAAUCUCCGGGCUUAACCCGGAAAGGUCAAUCGAUACUGCAGGGCUAGAGUGCAGAAGGGGCAACUGGAAUUCUCGGUGUAGCGGUGAAAUGCGUAGAUAUCGAGAGGAACACCUGCGGCGAAGGCGGGUUGCUGGGCUGACACUGACGCUGACAGCGCGAAAGCUAGGGGAGCGAACGGGAUUAGAUACCCCGGUAGUCCUAGCCUUAAACGAUGAAUGCUUGGUGUCUGGGGUUUUAUAGUCCCCGGGUGCCGUCGCUAACGCUUUAAGCAUUCCGCCUGGGGAGUACGGUCGCAAGACUG
This 375-nucleotide ribosomal RNA is filed under the name uncultured organism. RNAcentral's name for it is "bacterial SSU rRNA". It matches the Rfam family "Bacterial small subunit ribosomal RNA", at positions 526 to 896 of the family's 1533-position model. The record is from RNAcentral.